UGAGGAAUAUUGGUCAAUGGGGCGAGAGCCUGAACCAGCCAAGUCGCGUGAAGGAUGAAGGUUCUAUGGAUUGUAAACUUCUUUUGUCCGAGGGUAAAAAAGGCUACGUGUAGCUUCUUGCAAGUAUCGGACGAAUAAGCAUCGGCUAACUCCGUGCCAGCAGCCGCGGUAAUACGGAGGAUGCGAGCGUUAUCCGGAUUUAUUGGGUUUAAAGGGUGCGUAGGUGGUUUGUUAAGUUUGUGGUGAAAGCGUGCGGCUCAACCGUACCAAGCCAUGAAAACUGGCGAACUUGAGUGCAAACGAGGUAGGCGGAAUGUGAUGUGUAGCGGUGAAAUGCUUAGAUAUGUCACAGAACCCCGAUUGCGAAGGCAGCUUACCAGCAUGCAACUGACACUG
This 396-nucleotide ribosomal RNA is filed under the name uncultured Porphyromonadaceae bacterium. RNAcentral describes it as "bacterial SSU rRNA". It matches the Rfam family "Bacterial small subunit ribosomal RNA", at positions 355 to 748 of the family's 1533-position model. Lineage: Bacteria; Pseudomonadati; Bacteroidota; Bacteroidia; Bacteroidales; Porphyromonadaceae. The record is from RNAcentral.